GAAGCCAGGCCAAGAAGAAUCCCAGGACUGGAAGGCCUUGUGGGACGUCCCAGGUUUGUCUUGUGUCAAUAGCACUGAUACUCAAUCUCCUACUCCCAUCUGUGAGCAUGCAGACCCUACUUGCCUUCCCACAGCCUCCCUUUUCAUAUUUUUCAUGUUUCUUUAGCUCUGUCUUCAAGCCUUGUUGCUCCCGCAAAAAAACCUGCCUCUUCCUCCAGUCCUCCCAAGCAGGGGGAACAGUCCUGACACCUUUCCAAGCCCUGGUCCAUGGACAUUGUGCCCCCUUCUCCCUGCCCAUGGUGACCUGCUCCAAAACCCUCAAGGAGAAGGGAGUGUAUGUCAUUUCCUCCCUGUAAAGUAAAGAUAAUUUUGCAGGGGACUGUGUGGAUGAAAUGACAUGAUGCAUGGAAAUCCCUUAGCGUGUGCCUGGCAUGUAAACUGCAGGUGUCAUCAUUAUUACUGAGGAAUACUGAGUCCCGAACAUGGCUGUCUCAUUGGUGGACUGGGGUCUCCCCCAGGGCAUUCAUCUACUAUGUGUUUAUUGCACCCUUUUUCCAUGUGAGGCACAUGCCAGGGACUGGGCACAUGGUAUGAACAAGACACAGGUCAUCGGUGUCCUCUUGAGCUCCCUGGCUUGGCAGCAGAUGCAUACCUGGGAAGGAUGCUAGGUCAUCCGGGAACUCUACCUCCUUCAAAUCCCUAAGGACUGUGCUCCCAAUCCGCUUACGCUCAAGGAAGAACUGAGACCAGGCCCACAGAGUAUGGCUGUGCAAGUUGUUCACUCUACAAGGGCACCUGGCCGGGGUCUUACCUUGAAUGGAGGAGAAGAGCUUGAAGAUGAGGGGACAGGCCAAGACAACUACCUGGCCCCGAGGGGUGGCUGGCCAGCAGAUGAGGAAAUGGAGGCACAGACUGAUUAGAAAACCAGCUCAAGGUCAUGUUGCUGCUCUCUCAUUCCUGUUGAGGGCUCUCUGGUGGAGCCUCUGUCUCACAGGUCACCUGCAGGCCAACACUCCCAGAAGCAGCUAGCACCAUGGUUGACCUCGUCCAGGUCCAGGGAAGGCCUCCCUCUCCAGGACUCCUUUAGAUUUCCCCAGCAUCCAGACCUCACCUGCCUAAGUGCUGUUGCCCUGGAAGCCACAGUGAGCACGAGCUCCAUCUUGCACCUUUACCAGCCAAUGGGGGUAAAGACAUUAGCUGGGUUACUCAGGCUGAAAUGCUCAAGACACUCUGUCUCAAGGGAUUUGUGGCUGUUUCAUCCUCAAGUAUAGGGGGAAUAGUGGCCAGGAAGAUCUCAGAGGUGGCUUCUGGAAGAGGAAUCUGGGUACUGGCUACCCUGCCUUGUGUCCCAUCAUUGGUCUGUCUUGCCUGUCUUGGAGCACAUUUCUCACCAAGGUUCGUAGGCCAUGUUCAAUCCCCUCAAGGGAAGCCUGAGACCACAGCUACUGCCUCGAAUCAGAAGCCCCAGCCUCAUCAUCUGGGGCCAGAGAACUAGGGCAGGAGGAGCCAAGUAGCACAGCAGGAAGCAUGAGUCCCUCCGAGGAGAAGCUGGUCUCUGAGAGGAGCACAGAAUGCAGCAGGCUGGAUAAGCCCCCUGCUGAAAUCAUGGGGUAAAAAAGAGACACAGGGGGAAUGGAGGAGCCAGAGAGAAAGCAGUGUGAUCACAGGCACACAGGACAGCAGCUCACCUUCCCAUCCUUGCUGGCUUUUGCACCCAACAGCCCAAAGCCUCCCCGCUGCAAAUUCUUUUUUUUUUUUUUUUUUGCCAGCCUCACUUCCUCUUGGGGAAGGCUGAGCUCUGGUAGAAGAAGAGAAUGAGAACUGCUGUAAAUACUUCUAAGGGGCCAGGCGUGGUGACUCAUGCUUGUAAUUCCAAGCACUUUGGGAGGCUGAGGCAGGUGGAUCACCUGAAGCCAGGAGUUCAAGAGCAGCCUGGCCAACAUGGCGAAACCCUGUCUCUACUAAAAAUACAAAAUUUAGCCAGGCAUGGUGGCGGGAGCCUGUAAUCUCAGCUCCUAGGGAGGCUGAGCCAGAAGAAUCGCUUAAACCUGGAAGCUGGAGGUUGCAGUGAGCCAAGAUCACACCACCACACUCCAGCCUGGGUGACAGAGCAAGACUCCAUCUCAAAAAGAAAAAAAAGAAAAAAAGGAAAUACUUCUAAGUUAUGUGAGAGAGUACAUACUGACAUUUUCAAUGGGUACAAUAA
Molecule: long non-coding RNA, 2206 nt
Filed under: Homo sapiens (human)
Lineage: Eukaryota; Metazoa; Chordata; Mammalia; Primates; Hominidae
Description: PREDICTED lncRNA (TCONS_00191760)
Source: RNAcentral